CGUGAUAUCAGCCAAAGAAACAUCCAACACUUUCUCCAUAUCCUUUGCUGCCUGUGCCACAUUCCGCUCCACCAAAGCUGUGUAUCUAUCAUCAAAUAUCACUAAAUCAUAAAUCAAAGCAGGUAACACUUUUAAUUACUUUUAUGUUAAUAAUUAACAAUAUUUUAAUUAUAGACUUCACAAUUUUGUUGUAUGGUGAAUAAAAUGUCAUAAUACCAAUUAUCAAAUAUAUUAUAUAUAUAUUACGUGGAAGUUGUUCAAGAGAUGACAGUUCGAUCGUAUGAAGAAAGGGAUGUUGAGAAUACAAAAUUAUGAUUGAUUAUAACAAGAUGUGAAUUAUGAUUAAAGGGAAGUCAACCCCUCAAUUUGGUUGGUUCCGAGAUAAUUCCAAAACAAAGCUUCAAAGAAAUGCACAAAUAAUAAUUAACCUGGCAGUUUCCGGCAUCAUCAUUCGCCAGUAAUAAGUCAUGGCCGCCGGAACAGCGCCCAGCAUGAGGAUCAGCCUCCAAGCAAUAUCAG
RNAcentral lists this long non-coding RNA (519 nucleotides) under Cucumis sativus (cucumber). Its description in RNAcentral is "long non-coding RNA (CSAT_LNC001732)". Lineage: Eukaryota; Viridiplantae; Streptophyta; Magnoliopsida; Cucurbitales; Cucurbitaceae. The record is from RNAcentral.